AUUGAACGCUGGCGGCAGGCCUAACACAUGCAAGUCGAGCGGAUGAAGGGAGCUUGCUCCUGGAUUCAGCGGCGGACGGGUGAGUAAUGCCUAGGAAUCUGCCUGGUAGUGGGAGAUAACGUCCGGAAACGGGCGCUAAUACCGCAUACGUCCUGAGGGAGAAAGUGGGGGAUCUUCGGACCUCACGCUAUCAGAUGAGCCUAGGUCGGAUUAGCUAGUUGGUGGGGUAAAGGCCUACCAAGGCGACGAUCCGUAACUGGUCUGAGAGGAUGAUCAGUCACACUGGAACUGAGACACGGUCCAGACUCCUACGGGAGGCAGCAGUGGGGAAUAUUGGACAAUGGGCGAAAGCCUGAUCCAGCCAUGCCGCGUGUGUGAAGAAGGUCUUCGGAUUGUAAAGCACUUUAAGUUGGGAGGAAGGGCAGUAAGUUAAUACCUUGCUGUUUUGACGUUACCAACAGAAUAAGCACCGGCUAACUUCGU
This 483-nucleotide ribosomal RNA is filed under the name uncultured bacterium. RNAcentral describes it as "partial 16S ribosomal RNA". It matches the Rfam family "Bacterial small subunit ribosomal RNA", at positions 30 to 506 of the family's 1533-position model. The record is from RNAcentral.